AGGGAAGUAGGAACUUAAUAUUCAUUAAGUCAUUUGACAUUCUUAACAAUGUGCAGAAGAUCAUGAUUUGUGCAGAGUUCAAAAUAGAUAACAAAUGCCUUCUUCUGUGGGAAAAACAUGAACAUCAAUGUGUCUAAAGGGCUAUUCAAUACAUGUUUUGUGUGCAUCAUUAUUUGUAUGCUUUAUAAUAAUCCUCAGAGUUAGGCCCAUUUUAUAGAUGAAAAGACAGAGCCUCAAAUGUAACUUAGCCGAGGACUUACAUACCUGGUAAGUUGCAGAACUGGUAUGUGCACCCAAUUAUCUCAGGAUCUAAAGCCCACAUGCUUUUGUCACACUACACUGUCUUUCUUUUGAGAUUUAUAAUCUAUUAUCAAGGAGGGAGAACUUAUAUAAAGUUCAGAGAAGGUAUAUACACUUAUACACACACACACAUAUAUAUAAAUUUCAAAGAAGGUGGAGAUGAGUACAACAUAGACAAAUGCAAUUGAAGAAGUUUUUGAUUCUUAUGAGUAUUAUACAUAUUUUAGGGGAUCUGUGUUCUUUUCAAUGUCUAUGAAUUUGACCAUCUUUUCUUCUCACAUUCUUCCCCAUCCAUUCACCAGUGACUUCGCUCUUCUGUGAAGGGUGAGAUAGAAACAGCUACUUUUCUCUAACAGCAUGAUUUACCUAAUUGGUUAUCUAAUUUAUCUAAUUGGUGUGAUAGCAAAAGAACGAAAACUAUUGGCUUGCAAUAGGCAGAUUAAGAUGUGAAAUGCUUGUGUCACUGGUUGCCCAAUGACUUUGCCCUUCAGUGGGUGAAAAGUGAGGAGUGAGAGGAGGAAGAAUGAGAGGCACAUUUUUAUUCUUGGGUCAAAGGAAAUGCUCUAAUCCAGUUUUAAUGAAAUUUCUGUUUUAUCACUCUCUGACUUUUGAGUUCAUUUAUCAAUUUGUUAAUAACACAGACAGAAGAAAUAUGUGAUUCUUUUGUAACAGGGUAGUCCAACAAUGAACAGCUUUGGGAAGGAUCUGGCUUCCCUGGGGAAAGUGUUGCUUCCUUAAAGAAUGCUCCCUGUCUAGUAAACAAUUGUAACUUGGUAGUCACUCUCAAACUAUCAAUCUAACAAGUAAACUCAUAUUUUUCUACUGUAUGCUGGUGGAUAUGAAUAAUCAAGAAGGAGACAUAGAUGCUGGACUUUGCCCCUAGGAGAGAAAGAUUCAUUUAUGACCUGCUUUUUUUUUUUUUUGGAAAAGCAGAAGAAACCCAAAUUAUAAUCCAUAAGGUAUUCACCUGAGCACAUGCUGGCUUCAUGCUUUCAGGAAUGAAAUGCCCAACUCACCGGAUCAACUUGGGUCAGAGAUACUGAUAAACCUCUCAUGCCUUGAAAUUGUAAUGGAAUGCAAGUUCAGCCACUUGCUGCUUGAGAAGCCGAAUACACAAGAGAUGGAAAAAGAGGGUGCUGGCAGAAGGAUCCCUGGUUGGGCAGGGACAUGCCAGUAUGUCCAGAGGAGUUCCCUGCCUGCCAGGAAUCUCAGCAGACACAGUGAUGUGAAAGAGCAAGACAAAAUGCCAGAUAGAGACCUACUUUAAACAGUACUUAGAAAUAAAAAUCAUAAGAAAUGUUGAACCAUGCAGUGAUGAGAAUCACUUUUAUACCACCCAAAAUUCCUUUUCCUGAAAUCUCUAUCUGCUUGAUGAUACUGUCCACAUUUAAAAUUUUUAAAUAUUUUACAAAGUACUUUCAUAAAAUAGCCAAACGAUCCUGAAAUCUAUCCUUCUCUUACCAUCAUUGGUUUUCCUAAGGCUUUGCUAUCCUCUACUUCCAUUCUUGAUUCUCCUGUUUUCAUUUUUAAGUCAUUUUCUUUGGCCUUCUGCUCUUCCUGUUUUUCACAACUUUAAUUAUUGACAAUGAUUUCUGAGUCUCCCCUGAGCUCUGGUGUCACAUACUUGACAAAAAGUACAGUUAAAAACUUCUUGAAUGAAUGAGUCACUCUCCAAUUGCCUGAUGAAAAUACCUACUUGGAGGUAUUUCAUCACCUCAAAACCUGAAAACAACCUAUUGUCCUUAAAAUAACUACCUUUUCUGAGAAUUUCUGUUAAUGAUAGUGAGAACCAACAUUUAUUGAGUGAUUAUCACAUGCCAGGCACUUCACAAUAUGUUAUCUACUUCUCACAACUAUCCUAUGAAAUAGAUGGUAUAAUGAAGAAAUCAAGGACAAAAGCAGUGAGCAUGCUGAGGAAUAGAGAUAUGAACCCAGGCCAUCUAACUCAAACCAGUGCCUCUCCCAUCACACGUCAGGCUUAUCUGUUUAAGUCCCUUAACCACACUCAGUUCCAGUGGUUUUAACCUGUCAGGUAGAGGCCCAAAUAAUGACGAAUGAAGCCAGAAAAAAUAGGACCCAAACUGACAGGUUAUUAGGGAUGAACAAAAAGAAUUGAAAACUCAGUAAAAUCCAAGAAAAUACAUUCAUAACCAAAAAUAUAAAGAAUUAAAGAGAUUUUUGAAAUAGAGUCAAGAUUUGCUUAUUUGUUUGAAGCAAGUUC
Pongo pygmaeus (Bornean orangutan) is the source of this 2521-nucleotide long non-coding RNA. RefSeq lists it as uncharacterized. Lineage: Eukaryota; Metazoa; Chordata; Mammalia; Primates; Hominidae. The record is from RefSeq and is a predicted model, not a curated record. The transcript is spliced from 3 exons.